GUGGGGAAUAUUGGACAAUGGGCGAAAGCCUGAUCCAGCCAUGCCGCGUGUGUGAAGAAGGUCUUCGGAUUGUAAAGCACUUUAAGUUGGGAGGAAGGGCAGUAAGUUAAUACCUUGCUGUUUUGACGUUACCGACAGAAUAAGCACCGGCUAACUUCGUGCCAGCAGCCGCGGUAAUACGAAGGGUGCAAGCGUUAAUCGGAAUUACUGGGCGUAAAGCGAGCGUAGGUGGUUUUGUAAGUUGGAGGUGAAAUCCCCGGGCUCAACCUGGGAACUGCCUCCAAAACUGCAUGACUAGAGUACGGUAGAGGGUAGUGGAAUUUCCUGUGUAGCGGUGAAAUGCGUAGAUAUAGGAAGGAACACCAGUGGCGAAGGCGACUACCUGGACUGAUACUGACACUGAGGUGCGAAAGCGUGGGGAGCAAACAGGAUUAGAUACCCUAGUAGUCC
This 450-nucleotide ribosomal RNA is filed under the name uncultured bacterium. RNAcentral describes it as "partial 16S ribosomal RNA". It matches the Rfam family "Bacterial small subunit ribosomal RNA", at positions 354 to 796 of the family's 1533-position model. The record is from RNAcentral.